UUGGAGGGCAAGUCUGGUGCCAGCAGCCGCGGUAAUUCCAGCUCCAAUAGCGUAUAUUAAAGUUGUUGCAGUUAAAAAGCUCGUAGUUGAAUUUCGGGAUCAGAUUGUCGGUCGUGCCUCGGUACGCACUGGCAUUAUUGGUUCCUACCUUCUGAAGAACCGCGAUGUCAUUAAUUUGGUGUCGUGGGGAAUCAGGACCGUUACUUUGAAAAAAUUAGAGUGUUUAAAGCAGGCUUACGCUUGAAUACAUUAGCAUGGAAUAAUGAAAUAGGACGUUUGAUUCUAUUUUGUUGGUUUCUAGGAUUGACGUAAUGAUUAAUAGGGAUAGUUGGGGGCAUUAGUAUUCAAUUGUCAGAGGUGAAAUUCUUGGAUUUAUUGAAGACUAACUACUGCGAAAGCAUUUGCCAAGGAUGUUUUCAUUAAUCAAGAACGAAAGUUAGGGGAUCGAAGACGAUCAGAUACCGUCGUAGUCUUAACCAUAAACUAUGCCGACUAGGGAUCGGAUGAUGUUAAUAUAUAAUGACUCAUUCGGCGCCUACGGAAAC
RNAcentral lists this ribosomal RNA (545 nucleotides) under uncultured Glomeromycotina. RNAcentral describes it as "SSU rRNA". It matches the Rfam family "Eukaryotic small subunit ribosomal RNA", at positions 548 to 1098 of the family's 1831-position model. The record is from RNAcentral. Lineage: Eukaryota; Fungi; Glomeromycota.